CCCCUAGAUGUUCUGGGCCGCACGCGCGCUACACUGAACAGUUCAACAAGUCUUAACCUUGGCCGACAGGCCCGGGCAAUCUUUGAACGCUGGUCGUGAUGGGGAUAGACUUUUGCAAUUUUUGGUCUUCAACGAGGAAUUCCUAGUAAACGCAAGUCAUCAACUUGCAUUGAUUACGUCCCUGCCCUUUGUACACACCGCCCGUCGCACCUACCGAUUGAAUGGUCCGGUGAAGCCUCCGGAUUGGCGCGCACCUCGGUGCCGCCGAGAAGUUGGCUAAACCUUACCAUUUAGAGGAAGGUGAANUCGUAACA
This 314-nucleotide ribosomal RNA is filed under the name uncultured eukaryote. Its description in RNAcentral is "partial 18S ribosomal RNA". It matches the Rfam family "Eukaryotic small subunit ribosomal RNA", at positions 1470 to 1796 of the family's 1831-position model. The record is from RNAcentral.